CUUUUUGAUCAUUUUUAGUCUAUACUUAUACACCGAUCUGCGCAUUACACUGGCAGGUGAAGUGCAGAACAUUGAUUGCGUCAUUGCGAUGGCACCUGUGAAAGUGCCAAGGAAAUAUUAAGGCAGCAAAUGAAAAGUCAGUUUUUGGAUUCAGGGGAAGUGGGAGAGCAUAAGGAGCGACUCUGACAAGGGUCAGUGGGUCAGGGCGUCUUCAAACAGGCAGGUCUUUUGGGGUUUUCCCGGUUCGCACUAAAAGUGGUCCAAGGGAGGACAAAUAGAGAACCGGUGACAGGGUCAUGGGCGCCCAAGGCUCAUUGACGCACGUAAAGCGCAAGGCUAACCGUGUGGUCUGAUCCCGCAGAAGAGUUACUGUAGCAUAAAUUGCUGAGAAACGAAUGAGGACUGUAUGUUUGCGUAGCAGCAGACCGGUCACCAGGUAGCGCUAUGGGAAGAAGGCAACUCGGCGGAGGCAGCGUGACGCUGUGGGCGAGGUGCGAACCGCACAGAUUCUUCAGGACGCCUUCGCAGUUCUUGUGGAGUCCAUGCCUUGAAGCGUCAGCUGUUUCCUCGGCACAAGGUCGACACUAGCCAUAGCAGCUUGGGAGCAGGAUGGCCAGUUCUCUGCCCUGGAGGGCUCAGGAAGAAGUGCUGCAGGAGGAGGGGUCGACACCAGCCUGCCCCUGAGUCUCAGCCCAUGGAGACCUGCCUGAGCCCAGCAGAAGCCCAGGACAUUUAUCAGCAGGCCCAGAUGGCCUCUCCCUUCCUGCACUGAAGCCCUGAAGUUGGCAGGUCGCCAAUAGAAAAUUGUGUGUGUGUGUGUGUAACAGGUGGGUUGUCAUGACUAUAUCGCCAUGUGAGCAAUCUGUAUGUUAAUCACGGACAUGAAUGCCAAACCAUGGGACGCUGCUGCUCUGGACAAUUAUUAGUGAAUAUACCAGAGUGAAGUCUGAGCUUCCUCUCCUUGUUGUUGACCUGUGUCCUACUUUCCUCUGAGGUAUGUUUUGUGAAUUCAUUGCAUGUUAGAUUUGUUGCUGCACAAAAUGUUUAUUCAGUUAAUACCUUUAUAGAUUGUUCAGGGGUUUACUGCAUGCUUCUCCAUGGGUGACAACUGAUUGGAGCGCUAUUCUGCAGGAGUUGGCAUCUGUUGCACAUGUGGUGCCAAGGCGCCACAGUGCGAGACACAACCAGGGUACUUUUGAGCAGCUUUUGUUUUGAAUUUUUUUAGUUUUUAUUGAAUGUGGUUUUACACUUUGUAGGAGUAAUGGCCACUGCUGCUUUGCCCAGUGUGUCUCUUAUAUCAAGAAGCCUAUUUAAAUUUCUCUCAUUUACUGUACUGCUCAUGUAGCUAGGGUUGGGCCAAUUCUAUGGUGCAUCAGCAGUAUGUGAAUGGUUUGAUGUACAGGGAGGGACAAUCCUCUUAAUUUUGGUUAUGGUAUUUUUUGUUUUGUUUUUAUUUUUGUUUCUGACUGUGAUGAAUUGAUAUUUGUGGUGUUUAUCGAACAGGUCGGCCCUAGUCUGACCUUGACCAUUUUAUUCCUGUUUAAACCUGUGGGAGAGAAUUGUACUAUACUUAUUUUAACAGUGGGUGCAUAGGUAGUCUCCAAAAGUGGUAUUUUAGCCUUGGUGCUACGUUUUUUUGUAAG
Molecule: long non-coding RNA, 1643 nt
Organism: Monopterus albus (swamp eel)
Lineage: Eukaryota; Metazoa; Chordata; Actinopteri; Synbranchiformes; Synbranchidae
Exons: 3
Source: RefSeq, a predicted model, not a curated record